UCAUAAACUACAACUUCAGCA
Molecule: non-coding RNA, 21 nt
Filed under: Caenorhabditis elegans
Lineage: Eukaryota; Metazoa; Nematoda; Chromadorea; Rhabditida; Rhabditidae
Source: RNAcentral